CUCAUACUCCUUCUCUCAAACUCCAGUAGUCGCCACUGCCCUCUCAAAGACUCAAACUCAUCUUCUUCUUCAUUACAUUUACAUAUUUACUCGUCUCUCCUCCAGUCCUCCUCCCGUCCUCUCCUCUCAAACUCGUUUGUUUUCUCUAUCUUCUUCUUUAUGCAUGCGCCAUGGUGUAACCUUAGCAGCCGGGGAAGUUGUUUUGGCUUUACAGCAACCUUAUGCUCUUUCCACAGGUGAUUCCGUGAUUGCACUUGGCCAAUUGAAGAAUGCUUGAGCCUUAAAGUUGAGGGGAGAUGCCUAUUUACAACUUUCACUUGUUAUUUCUUAAUCACUUUUGUACUUGACCAUUAAAAUUUAAAGGAACAGUUUGUAUUUUAUGAUAAUGUAAUUGGUGAUUAUUAGU
Pistacia vera is the source of this 406-nucleotide long non-coding RNA. RefSeq lists it as uncharacterized. The transcript has 2 exons. The record is from RefSeq and is a predicted model, not a curated record. NCBI's taxonomy places the organism in Eukaryota, Viridiplantae, Streptophyta, Magnoliopsida, Sapindales, Anacardiaceae.